ACGCUCGACACCUACGGGAGACAGCAGUGGGGAAUAUUGGGCAAUGGGGCGCAAGCCUGACCCAGCAACGCCGCGUGAAGGAUGAAGGCUUUCGGGUUGUAAACUUCUUUUAUCAGGGACGAAACAAAUGACGGUACCUGAUGAAUAAGCCACGGCUAACUACGUGCCAGCGGCCGCGGUAAUCUGAGGCGGGGCGUGGGCGAAGGGC
RNAcentral lists this ribosomal RNA (208 nucleotides) under uncultured bacterium. RNAcentral describes it as "partial 16S ribosomal RNA". It matches the Rfam family "Bacterial small subunit ribosomal RNA", at positions 328 to 538 of the family's 1533-position model. The record is from RNAcentral.